This 283-nucleotide small RNA is filed under the name Castor canadensis (American beaver). RNAcentral describes it as "Metazoan signal recognition particle RNA (ENSCCNG00000014186.1)". It matches the Rfam family "Metazoan signal recognition particle RNA", at positions 1 to 200 of the family's 299-position model. Rfam says of the family: The signal recognition particle (SRP) is a universally conserved ribonucleoprotein. It is involved in the co-translational targeting of proteins to membranes. Lineage: Eukaryota; Metazoa; Chordata; Mammalia; Rodentia; Castoridae. The record is from RNAcentral.
GCCGGGCGCGGUGGCGCGCGCCUGUAGUCCUAGCUACUCGGGAGGCUGAGGCAGGAGGAUUGCUUGAGUCCAGGAGUUCUGGGCUGCAGUGCGCUAUGCCGAUCGGGUGUCCGCACUAAGUUCGGCAUCAAUAUGGUGACCUCCUGGGAGCGGGGGACCACCAGAUUGCCUAAGGAGGGGUGAACCGACCCAGGUCGGAGAACUACAAAAAAUUAGAAAUCUAGAAGUAACUUUCACCAAUGAAGUGAAAGAGCUCUACAAAGAAAAUUACAAAAAAAUCAAU